GGGGAAUUUUCCGCAAUGGGCGAAAGCCUGACGUAGCGACACCGCGUGAGCGAAGAAGCCCUUUGGGGUGUAAAGCUCUGUCGGCUGGAACGAAAAAAAUGACGGUACCAGCAAAGGAAGCAUCGGCUAACUACGUGCCAGCAGCCGCGGUAAGACGUAGGAUGCAAGCGUUGUCCGGAUUUAUUGGGCGUAAAGAGUUCGUAGGCGGUUUGUUAAGUCUGGUGUUAAAGAUCAGGGCCCAACCCUGGGAUGGCAUUGGAUACUGGCAGACUGGAGUGCAGUAGAGGCAAGUGGAAUUCCCAGUGUAGCGGUGAAAUGCGUAGAUAUUGGGAAGAACACCGGUGGCGCAGGCGACUUGCUGGGCUGUAACUGACGCUGAGGAACGAAAGCUAGGGGAGCAAAAGGGAUAGAUACCCCUGUAGUC
RNAcentral lists this ribosomal RNA (424 nucleotides) under uncultured bacterium. RNAcentral describes it as "bacterial SSU rRNA". It matches the Rfam family "Bacterial small subunit ribosomal RNA", at positions 356 to 795 of the family's 1533-position model. The record is from RNAcentral.